CGGGCGGGAGGGGGUGCUAUUAAUGCAAUUCAAAGAAACUCUGGUAUUGAUUGUUGCUUGCAUCAUGAUUUACUUUUAAUUGAUUGGCAAACUGGUGAGUAACACGUGGGAAACCUGCCCAAAACCGGGGGAUAACACCUGGAAACAAAUGCUAUUACCGCUUAACACCUUGAACCGCUUGGCCCAAGUUUGAAAAAUGGUUUCGGUUAUCCCUUUUGGAUGGCCCCCCGGCGUAUUACCUAAAUGGGGGGGAAACGGCUCCCCUUGGCAUUGAUCCUUACCCAACCUGAAAGGGUAAUCGGCCCCUUUGGAACUGAAACCCGGCCCAAAUUCCUACGGGAGGCACCAUUAGGAAAUCUUCCCCAAGGAACAAAAUUCUAAUGAACCACCCCCCCUUGAUUAAAAAAGGGUUUCGGCUCUUAAAAUUCUGUUGUUAAAAAAAAACUUUUCUAAAAUUAACGGUUCAGGUUUUGCCGGAAUUUAACCAAAAACCCCCGGUUAAUUACUUGCCACCACCCCCGGUAUAACUUAGGGGCCAGCCUUUUUCGGGAUUUAUGGGCCGUAAGCCAACCCCAGCCGUUUUUUUAGUUCUAAUGUAAAACCCUCCGGUUCACCCAAAAAAUUGCUCCGAAACCUGGAAAACUUGAUUGCAAAAAAGGACAGUGAACCUCCUGGUGUACCGUUGAAUUGCGUAGAUAUAUGGAAAACCACCAUUGGCGAAGGCGGCUGUCUGGUCUGUACUUGAAGCUAAGGCUCAAAGUUUGGGUAGCAAACAGGAUAAAUACCCUGGUAUUCCAUACCGUAAACGAUGAAUGCUAAGUGUUGGAAGGGUUCCGCCCUUUCACUGCUGCAGCUAACGCAUUACCAUUCCCCUGGGGGAGUACGGCCGCAGGCUGAAACUCAAAGGAACUGACUGGUGGCCCGCACAAGCGGUGGAGCAUGUGGUUUAAUUCGAAAUCUACGCGACGACCGUACAGUCUUGGACGUACUUAUGCAAAUUAAAGAAAUAAAAGUUCCCCUUCCGGGCAC
This 1029-nucleotide ribosomal RNA is filed under the name Lactiplantibacillus sp. RNAcentral describes it as "partial 16S ribosomal RNA". It matches the Rfam family "Bacterial small subunit ribosomal RNA", at positions 32 to 1028 of the family's 1533-position model. The record is from RNAcentral. Lineage: Bacteria; Bacillati; Bacillota; Bacilli; Lactobacillales; Lactobacillaceae.